This is a regulatory RNA element of Solibacillus silvestris StLB046, 93 nucleotides long. It matches the Rfam family "Glycine riboswitch aptamer". Rfam says of the family: This family represents the bacterial glycine riboswitch. Glycine riboswitches usually consist of two metabolite-binding aptamers domains with similar structures in tandem. The aptamers cooperatively bind glycine to regulate the expression of downstream genes. NCBI's taxonomy places the organism in Bacteria, Bacillati, Bacillota, Bacilli, Caryophanales, Caryophanaceae. The record is from Rfam.
AUGAUGAUACGGGGAGAGAACGUGAUGUCACGUCGCCGAAGGAGCAAAUAGCUAAGCUAUGAAUCUCUCAGGCAAAAAGACUCGUAUUGGACG